GCGAGGGCGGCGGAGGCGCGGCCGGGCGGGUCCCAGGGCCGCGGUUCUCCAGCGCAGGAGUCCCCAGCGCACCCGCUGCGCUCGCCCCGCAGCCGCAGCCUGAGCGGCCGAAGUCGCCACCAGCUGUGUCCGCGCAGAUCCCAGGCGCGGAGGGGAGAGGUCGCCCGCUUGUCGCCCCCGCCGGACGCCGGGCACCGCGUAGCACCCGAGCGCCACCCGGACGCGGGGCCCUGGGGAGCGGCUGAGGCCGAAGACCCGAGGGAAGGAGGAGCCCGCGGACUGCUGCAGCCCCAGACUAUUUUCUGUGAGUCCUGAUCAAGUGAUACAAAUGAGCUGCAAUGGUGACAUAAACUCUUGACUGAGAUUGGAAAAGUAGCUGGAACACCAUCUUUUCUUUUAACUUUUUAUGGUGCUUCUAUUGGCAUAGUUGGGGAAAGUACCUACAACAUGAGUUUUAUCAUGAAGCUUCACAGACACUUUCAAAGAACAGUCAUUCUGCUUGCCACUUUUUGUAUGGUGAGCAUUAUCAUUUCUGCUUACUACCUGUACAGUGGCUACAAACAGGAAAAUGAACUCUCUGAGACGGCUUCAGAAGUUGACUGUGGCGACCUCCAACACCUACCAUAUCGGCUAAUGGAAGUGAAAGCAAUGAAGCUUUUUGAUGCCUCAAGGACAGACCCCACAGUCCUAGUAUUUGUAGAGAGCCAGUACUCAUCUCUUGGUCAAGACAUCAUUAUGAUUCUAGAAUCAAGUAGAUUCCAGUAUCACAUUGAAAUUGCCCCUGGAAAGGGAGACCUCCCAGCGCUUAUAGACAAAAUGAAAGGCAAAUACAUUCUCAUUAUUUAUGAGAAUAUUUUAAAGUAUAUAAAUAUGGACUCCUGGAAUCGAAGCCUUCUAGAUAAAUACUGUGUAGAAUACGGUGUGGGUGUCAUUGGAUUCCACAAAACUAGUGAGAAGAAUGUACAGAGCUUUCAGUUAAAAGGUUUCCCUUUUUCCAUAUAUGGAAAUCUUGCAGUAAAAGAUUGUUGUAUUAAUCCUCAUUCUCCAUUGCUUCGUGUGACCAAAUCUUCCAAGCUUGAAAAAGGUUCUUUACCUGGAACUGACUGGACAGUUUUUCAGAUUAAUCAUUCAGCCUAUCAACCAGUAAUAUUUGCCAAAGUAAAGACCCCAGAAAACCUUUCUCCUUCCAUCUCUAAAGGUGCUUUUUAUGCCACUAUCAUACAUGACCUGGGGCUUCAUGAUGGAAUUCAAAGGGUUCUGUUUGGCAACAACUUGAACUUUUGGCUGCACAAGCUCAUCUUCAUAGAUGCCAUCUCCUUCUUAUCAGGGAAGAGGCUGACAUUGUCCUUGGACAGGUACAUUCUUGUGGAUAUUGAUGAUAUAUUUGUGGGAAAAGAGGGAACAAGAAUGAACACCAAUGAUGUAAAGGUAAGGCUCUAUUUUCUCAAGUUUCAAAGUUCAGUUCAUCUCCCAGCAGGGAUACAACCAUCCCAGUUUGUACUACAACUGGGUUACCCAGGACAUGGGAUUUAUUGGGAAAGUCUGGGCAAUCUAGGAUUAUCACUCACCCUAAAUCAACUAAGAAGAUUAUAUAUUUCUAUCUGAAUCAAGAAAAAUAAAGAUUUUACUAAAAGAUUGAGUGUGGCAGGAUCCUGAAAUGGUUUUCUACAUGUAUUUACAACUAGAGUAGAAGUCAUUUUGUUUAAUUACUUUCCAGAAACUAUCUACCUCUAAAAAAACUAUUACUAAUCUCAGACUUAGCUCAUUUAAAUAUGAAAUUAAAGUGAAUUUGUCUUAAUGAUAAUAAAUAUUUCCACAAAUUUCAAGAAUUAUAGAUCUCAUGGUAGCAAGUUCAGAUACUUUUGGAAGUCAAAUAUGCAGUGCAUUUUCUCUUAUAUGUUUCUGAAACUGAAAAUCAGUACUACUAAAUAUGAAGAUCAAUGACUGUACAAGCAUAUUUAUUCACAUAUAAACAUGAGGAUUUAACUUGAUUUCAGUGAACACUUCUGACACAUAUAUGAAGCCAAUCAUGCUGAAUUUAAAUUGUAUUACAUUUCUUAUUGUGUAAAACUGCUGCCCUUAAACAAAAAAACAAUUAUUUGAAAUAGUUUGUCAUUAUUAUGAGUUGAUUGUGUUAUAUAAACAGCUGAUUGUUCACUAUUAAAAAAUUUUAAAAUUA
This 2179-nucleotide small RNA is filed under the name Pongo abelii (Sumatran orangutan). RNAcentral's name for it is "retained intron". Lineage: Eukaryota; Metazoa; Chordata; Mammalia; Primates; Hominidae. The record is from RNAcentral.